This 49-nucleotide non-coding RNA is filed under the name Trichobilharzia regenti. The record is from RNAcentral. Lineage: Eukaryota; Metazoa; Platyhelminthes; Trematoda; Strigeidida; Schistosomatidae.
GCACUGAUGAAGAGUCCCAGACUAGGACGAAACAGCAACUGUCCAGUAC